RNAcentral lists this long non-coding RNA (694 nucleotides) under Dasypus novemcinctus (nine-banded armadillo). Its description in RNAcentral is "lncRNA (ENSDNOG00000050752.1)". Lineage: Eukaryota; Metazoa; Chordata; Mammalia; Cingulata; Dasypodidae. The record is from RNAcentral.
GCAUAAUAACCUUGGUGCACGGCCGAAAGGGCUAUCCACUCUGGUAAAGAGUGGCAUCCCUGAAGCAUUGAGGGCAGAGGUAUGGCAGUUAUUAGCAGGCUGCCAUGACAACCAGGCGAUGUUGGAUAGAUACCGAAUUCUCAUCACAAAGGGAUGGCAAAUUUACAGCCAGCAGACUGGAUCUAGCCUGGAAAUACGUUUUGUGUGAACAGCACUACAUUAAAGAGAAGUAUACACCUCUGGCUCAAAUUUGUACUUUAUAUUUUGCCAUGGACUUAUUGCUCUUUAUUAUACCCUUCAUGCAUUUUAAUACCUGUCUGGCCUUCAAAUAUAUUUGAUUUUGUGACUCUAUUAUAUCCCCUUUUCAACCAUUGCCUCAGAAGAGGGGUCUCUCAUAGUGCGCUUUUAGUUGAUUAAUGCCAACUUCCCCACCAGACUCUAAACUACAGGGAAUCAAGGGCUGCAACUAUUUUCCUCUUCAUAGGUUACCCUGUGCAUGCCCUAGGGCCUAGCGUAUACUAGCUGGUCAAUAAAUAUUUGUUUUUGUCCCUCCCAAGAGGGACCUGAGGUCAUUUAUUUAUUCUUUUUUUCUUCCCAUAAACUGUAAGCCUUAUACUGUGUUAGGUUUUCAAUAAACCUGGUAAAGUAUAAGAGAAUGUCUUUUCCCUAAGAAACUUAUCACCUAGUUGGAGAG